GGCGCGUUGAUCUAGGGUUAUGAUUCUCGCUUCGGGUGCGAGAGGUCCCGGGUUCAAUUCCCGGACGAGCCC
Molecule: non-coding RNA, 72 nt
Organism: Ciona savignyi (Pacific transparent sea squirt)
Lineage: Eukaryota; Metazoa; Chordata; Ascidiacea; Phlebobranchia; Cionidae
Source: Rfam